This 76-nucleotide transfer RNA is filed under the name Clostridia bacterium. RNAcentral's name for it is "tRNA-Thr". It matches the Rfam family "tRNA". Rfam says of the family: Transfer RNA (tRNA) molecules are approximately 80 nucleotides in length. The record is from RNAcentral. Lineage: Bacteria; Bacillati; Bacillota; Clostridia.
GCUACCGUGGCUCAGCUGGUAGAGCAGCUCACUCGUAAUGAGCAGGUCGUCCGUUCGAAUCGGAUCGGUAGCUCCA